UACAGAGGGGGCAAGCGUUGUUCGGAAUUACUGGGCGUAAAGGGCGCGUAGGCGGCCUGUUAAGUCGAACGUGAAAUCCCCGGGCUCAACCCGGGAACUGCGUCCGAUACUGGCAGGCUUGAAUUCGGGAGAGGGAUGCGGAAUUCCAGGUGUAGCGGUGAAAUGCGUAGAUAUUGGGAGGAACACCGGUGGCGAAGGCGGCUACCUGGACCGGUUCUGACGCUGAUGCGCGAAAGCGUGGGGAGCAAACAGG
RNAcentral lists this ribosomal RNA (253 nucleotides) under uncultured bacterium. Its description in RNAcentral is "partial 16S ribosomal RNA". It matches the Rfam family "Bacterial small subunit ribosomal RNA", at positions 524 to 776 of the family's 1533-position model. The record is from RNAcentral.